RNAcentral lists this ribosomal RNA (253 nucleotides) under uncultured bacterium. Its description in RNAcentral is "partial 16S ribosomal RNA". It matches the Rfam family "Bacterial small subunit ribosomal RNA", at positions 524 to 776 of the family's 1533-position model. The record is from RNAcentral.
UACGUAGGUGACAAGCGUUGUCCGGAUUUACUGGGCGUAAAGAGCGCGCAGGCGGUCGAUCAAGUCGAGUGUGAAAGCCCCCGGCUCAACUGGGGAGGGUCAUUCGAUACUGAUCGACUCGAAGGCAGGAGAGGGUAGUGGAAUUCCCGGUGUAGUGGUGAAAUGCGUAGAUAUCGAGAGGAACACCUGCGGCGAAGGCGGGUUGCUGGGCUGACACUGACGCUGAUGCGCGAAAGCCAGGGGAGCGAACGGG